Molecule: long non-coding RNA, 669 nt
Organism: Drosophila hydei
Lineage: Eukaryota; Metazoa; Arthropoda; Insecta; Diptera; Drosophilidae
Exons: 3
Source: RefSeq, a predicted model, not a curated record
CAAAUAUAUAGAGAAAUAUUAAUCAAAAUUUAAAAUAUAUUUCGAUUAGUUUGAGCGAACUCUAAGGCUUGUCUACAGUGAGGCACAGCUGACUUAUGUUAUAUAUCAAUAGCAAAGUCUUUCCCUCCUUAUCAUUGACGUUAUGGAUUUCGGGAACGCAUCGAAUACAAGCCAGUUAGCCUCUAUGAACUGUUAACGCAUUUUCCAUGUUAUUUUCUACAACAAACAGCGAAGAGAUGAGCACAAUGAGCACCAGCAGCAGUGAAAAAACCGCUAUCAUCGCUGAGGUGGCCAGUGAUUGGCUACUGUAUAAGCUGGCAUCCAGUAUCUGCAAGAGAGGUGAAAAGAGAAGAAAAGCAUGAGUUGAAAUUACUUUGCAGUGAGUGAAAAGUAAAAGUAAGAGCUUUUGUACUUUUAAAAAAAGUUUAAGACAAUGCAAAUCACGACGCAACUCAAACACAAAACCAUUUUGCAUGCGAACAAGAAGAGCAAGAGCAAGCGAAACAGACAGCAGCAACAAAAUUUCGAAUUUUUGAAGAUGCCGACAAUCGAGGCAGAGUGAAAGAGGAGGAGAGGAAGCUACAAGUUUGCGCCAAUCAACAAAAUUAAGGUCAAAACCUGUGAAAAUUGCCUAUGCAGAACGAAGAGCAGUACAGAAUGUAAGAAAAU